Molecule: ribosomal RNA, 253 nt
Filed under: uncultured bacterium
Lineage: Bacteria
Description: partial 16S ribosomal RNA
Rfam family: Bacterial small subunit ribosomal RNA
Source: RNAcentral
UACGUAGGGUGCAAGCGUUGUCCGGAAUUAUUGGGCGUAAAGAGCUCGUAGGCGGUUCGUCGCGUCGGCUGUGAAAUCCCGAGGCUCAACCUCGGGUCUGCAGUCGAUACGGGCGGACUGGAGCUCGGCAGGGGAGACUGGAAUUCCUGGUGUAGCGGUGAAAUGCGCAGAUAUCAGGAGGAACACCGGUGGCGAAGGCGGGUCUCUGGGCCGAUACUGACGCUGAGGAGCGAAAGCGUGGGGAGCGAACAGG